UUAAAUUAAAAUACCUAUCAUACCCCUCUCAUUUCACUGUUCUUUCCCUCAUUGCCUUUUGAAACACAUGCAUUCAACCCCUUGUUUCUCUCCUCAAACACUCAUAGAUCAAAGCACUCAUCAAAUCCGGCGACUCCAACGACUGUGACAAUCCCUCAUCAAUCAUGACUUUGCCGAUAAUCUCACCCACAUCCACUCUCUGUCCACGGUGCAUCUUUCUCUAUCUUAGCUUUCUUUCCCCAGUGAAGGUGUCUUCAAUGCUAUCCAUCGUAGCUAUGCUUUGGUUCACUUUCUUUUUUCAUCCAUGGUCUCAUGGUUGUAAAUGAGCGUAUUACUAGACUGCGACCUCAUGAAUUCCACUUGAUAAAGGCAAGGGGAAAGUCGACCAACCAUGAGUACGGAGAGCGUGAAGCGACACGUACAUGUUUGGCCUGCUUGGAUGCCACGACCAGGGGUAUUUUCGGGAGACGCUUGUAUUAAACCUAAUUUUUUCAUUUAGUCAACUUUAAUUAUAUUUUGAGUUGUAAAUAUUUCUAAACAAUAUUUUUGGAUCCCAAAUG
This is a long non-coding RNA of Humulus lupulus (European hop), 560 nucleotides long. RefSeq lists it as uncharacterized. The transcript has 3 exons. The record is from RefSeq and is a predicted model, not a curated record. Lineage: Eukaryota; Viridiplantae; Streptophyta; Magnoliopsida; Rosales; Cannabaceae.